CAUCACAGAAGGGGUGUCUAGGAGAGUUCUGGUUGAUCCACAGAAGGGAAUGCUUACAAAUACCAGGCUUUCAAAAAUAGAUGGUGGACCCAUCAAGUCUUCUUUAUCUAUCUUCUAGGAGAAAAUUGGGAGCAGGCUUUGUUGAGUCCAUAACAAACGCUGAGAAUCACCAAACCUUCCUGUCAGGUUCCUCACCUGUUUCCUCUUAGAGCACAGCCCUCUCCACUUGACUGGGAGCUCUCUGAAGGUGCCAUCAGAGAGCCCUGCAACCUGUGUUCAGCCAGGUUGUGUUAAUGAAUGCAUAACUGAAUGAAUCCAUGUUGACCCACAUCUCCUCAAGAUGGAGCUGUGAAGGGCACAAUCGUCAUCUUGUCAGCAAGGCCCUCCAAACCAACACCUAUGAGAGGAGGUGGUUCUACUUUGGUUCCAACAACACAAAAAAGGCAACUUUCUACUCGCCCCACCCAUCUUCAGAAACAUCUAGCCUGUCUGAAGCUGGGUAACUAAAGCUCAAGAAAUAUAAAAUCCAAAAUUUCUCUUCAAUUCUUGGAGACUCUCUUCUGCCUCAAAAACACGGCCGGCAGCAGGACACCACAAACAUGAACCUAUGCUUUUGCUAGACUCUAGCCUCCUUCUGGCACCCGCCCUACCCCUUUGCUGGGGUUCCCCAACAUAUGUGCCUGGUACUUCAUGUUACAUUCUCCAUUGUAAUCCCCCACUAUUUGAUCUUUGAACCUCUCAACCUCAACUCUUCUCACACCGUUCGCUCAUGGUUCUGCCAUUUGUGGCUGAGAAUACAGGUGUUCAUAGAAUACUUCUCAGAAACAACUAGCUUCCAGAAGUUUCUGAAGACCAAUGCACAGUGAAGUAUCUCUAAUCCUAUUUUUUUUGCAAUGUAUUCUGACAGGUGGCAUUGGAGGUUAAAAGUUUAAGUUCAAACUUUUGGUAGCUCAGUGACAUUACUGUAGGUCUUGUCCAGGAUGUGGGUAAAAAGGUAUUAAAACAUCUCUGCCCAUCUUAUGUUCUCUCAUGUUUAGAAAUUGUAAUGCAGUGAGGAAAAAAAAAAAGAGCACUACUUUGUGUCACACGGGACUUGAUUCCUAUUCCUCACUCUGCCCCUGGCCCAGGGCCUAGGGACUCAGCAGUUUUGGAUCUCAAUUUCCUCACAGCACUCCUUUACAAUUAUGAUUUGAUACGUGUGAAAUAAAUUCCCAGGACAUAAUUCUUUAGAGUUAGUCUUAAAGUAUUUUAAAACCAAAGGAAAAUUGAUUUUGUAUCAGCCAGUGGUUUCUUCAUUAUCUGGCCUUGUGAGAAUAGCCCGGGUAUCAUUGAGAAAUAGAACUGCGCAUGCGCAGACACACAGAGACCUGAGGAUUCUGUUGAUCAUUUUUCUCAAGGUCUUGCUUCAUGAGGACUCUUUCAUCUUUCUUUCCUAAGCCCCUUUAGGAAAGAACUUGGAAGAUCAGCUGCAUGAGGAAAGAUUAGCAUAGGCUGAGAAUCCAACGCAAAAAGAGGGUCUAUCCUAGCACGAAGCAAGGCAUGAAAACAUUUUCAAGCAUUUUGGGAUGAUGAUGAUAAUGACAACACCAUGUAUUUCUCCCAGGAAGCUCAAAGAACUUCAUAGGCCUCACAUCAAUCAUCCUUGCCACUUCCCCAAAAGGAAGGAAAGGGCAGGCACUGAUAUGAUAUAAAUGGCAGCAGCAGAGUGAGCCAUCACAUCGAAUGAGAGCCUUAUACAUUGUUCAUUGUCACUUGUAACCAUACAGCAACUACAGUGAAAGUCAGGGAGGGGAUGUGACCCGGUCUCAGGCCAGAAGCUACAUCUCUGGGCAAGUAGGUGCACCUGAGUUUUGUAAAUGGCACUUUGGACAAUGAUUUAUUACUGAUUAUGGCCUGUCUAGUCUCAUGUUUUCAAGUCAUAUUUUGCUGUCCUGAUGUUGUUUACGGAAUAAAACCUGGUUUCCACAAACUAGUGAUUACUAGAUUUCCCUUUAAGCUUCUGAUUGUCAAACAAUUACAGUAAUGCUCUUCAUAAUAUUUUGGUCAAUGAUGGACUGCAUAUAUAUCAGUGGUUGCAUGAGAUGAUAACGGAGCUGAAGAAUUUCUGUUACCUACUGAUGCCCUAGCUAUCAAAAUGUCCUCGCAAUGCAUUACUCACAUGUUUGUGGUGAUGCCGGUGUAAACAAGCCUACUGUGCUGUCUUUGUACAAAGUCUGACACAU
Long non-coding RNA from Piliocolobus tephrosceles (Ugandan red Colobus), 2222 nucleotides. RefSeq lists it as uncharacterized. NCBI's taxonomy places the organism in Eukaryota, Metazoa, Chordata, Mammalia, Primates, Cercopithecidae. The transcript has 3 exons. The record is from RefSeq and is a predicted model, not a curated record.